GGCAAAGUUCGGUCCAGAGGCGGCGGAAAGAGGAACCGUCCAGAGGGUAUUCGGAAUUACGGGGCUUAAAGGGGGCGUAGGCGGCGCGGAAAGUAGGGUGUGAAAUCCCUCGGCUUAACCGAGGAAUGGCGCGCUAAACUGCCGGGCGUGAGGAAGAUAGAGGAGAGCGGAACUUAGGGUGGAGCGGUGAAAUGCGUUGAUAUCCUAAGGAACACCGGUGGCGAAGGCGGCUCUCUGGAUCUUUUCUGACGCUGAGGCACGAAAGCUAGGGGAGCGAACGGGAUAGAUACCCCAGUAGUC
RNAcentral lists this ribosomal RNA (300 nucleotides) under uncultured Halococcus sp. RNAcentral describes it as "bacterial SSU rRNA". It matches the Rfam family "Bacterial small subunit ribosomal RNA", at positions 495 to 795 of the family's 1533-position model. The record is from RNAcentral. Lineage: Archaea; Methanobacteriati; Methanobacteriota; Halobacteria; Halobacteriales; Halococcaceae.